UCGAGCCACCAGGUCUAGGACUCAAACCAUGCUGUUGGCAAGGUUCGUUGCCUUCACCACACCAGAGACUAGCUCUCAAGACAGAGAAAGGAAGGAGGAGGAACUGCAGUGGGACCGCACCACACUGAGGGAUAUACUUUCUCUUUUUCCCUCUCUCUGAACGUGAUACGCAAGGAUGCAACAAAGACCAGAGUGUAGCAACAGACAAAUCUCAGCAGAGAACAGCGCGGGUCCCCAGACGGUUACGGACAGCACACUGAAUAAAGUUUAUUGUGAUGACAACUAUUUCUAAAAAGCCAUGUUCCCCCCUUGUCCUCAACUCGCCUUCCUUUCAAAGUGCCUUCCUCUAAUCCUCAGGCCGUGCUCCAUUCUACGUAGUGUUUUUAUUUUUAGGUCCAGGCAGGGGACGGCUAUUCUUUAGUUACAGGCAGGCCCCAGAAGUACUGCUGGGCUUCCGAUGCGGGCGGCGAGGAGCAAAGCCCACCUCCUAACG
Tupaia belangeri chinensis (Chinese tree shrew) is the source of this 493-nucleotide long non-coding RNA. RefSeq lists it as uncharacterized. The transcript is spliced from 3 exons. NCBI's taxonomy places the organism in Eukaryota, Metazoa, Chordata, Mammalia, Scandentia, Tupaiidae. The record is from RefSeq and is a predicted model, not a curated record.